This 497-nucleotide ribosomal RNA is filed under the name uncultured bacterium. RNAcentral describes it as "partial 16S ribosomal RNA". It matches the Rfam family "Bacterial small subunit ribosomal RNA", at positions 28 to 507 of the family's 1533-position model. The record is from RNAcentral.
GAUGAACGCUGGCGGCGUGCCUAAUACAUGCAAGUCGAGCGAACAGACGAGGAGCUUGCUCCUCUGAUGUUAGCGGCGGACGGGUGAGUAACACGUGGAUAACCUACCUAUAAGACUGGGAUAACUUCGGGAAACCGGAGCUAAUACCGGAUAACAUGUUGAACCGCAUGGUUCAACAGUGAAAGACGGUCUUGCUGUCACUUAUAGAUGGAUCCGCGCCGCAUUAGCUAGUUGGUAAGGUAACGGCUUACCAAGGCAACGAUGCGUAGCCGACCUGAGAGGGUGAUCGGCCACACUGGAACUGAGACACGGUCCAGACUCCUACGGGAGGCAGCAGUAGGGAAUCUUCCGCAAUGGGCGAAAGCCUGACGGAGCAACGCCGCGUGAGUGAAGAAGGUCUUCGGAUCGUAAAACUCUGUUAGUAGGGAAGAACAAAUGUGUAAGUAACUAUGCACGUCUUGACGGUACCUAAUCAGAAAGCCACGGCUAACUACGUG